AAAGUCGUAACAAGGUUUCCGUAGGUGAACCUGCGGAAGGAUCAUUAUUGAUUUGAAAACGGGAUGUUGCUGACCCAUUUUUUUGGGUAAACGUGCACUCCUGACCUUUACAUCCACCUGUGCACUUUUUGUAGGCGGGAUUUAUUCCGUCUAUGAUUUUUAUUACACUCUUAUUUAAUGGGAUGAUAGUCUGACUUUGAUUUAACGAUCGAGUCAAAAAUCUAUACAACUUUCAACAAUGGAUCUCUUGGUUCUC
Molecule: unclassified non-coding RNA, 256 nt
Filed under: Basidiomycota sp.
Lineage: Eukaryota; Fungi; Basidiomycota
Description: partial contains small subunit ribosomal RNA, internal transcribed spacer 1, and 5.8S ribosomal RNA
Rfam family: Eukaryotic small subunit ribosomal RNA (bases 1-47)
Source: RNAcentral